Molecule: ribosomal RNA, 421 nt
Filed under: uncultured bacterium
Lineage: Bacteria
Description: partial 16S ribosomal RNA
Rfam family: Bacterial small subunit ribosomal RNA
Source: RNAcentral
AUUUUGGACAAUGGGGGAAACCCUGAUCCAGCCAUCCCGCGUGUAUGAUGAAGGCCUUCGGGUUGUAAAGUACUUUUGGCAGAGAAGAAAAGGUAUCUCCUAAUACGAGAUACUGCUGACGGUAUCUGCAGAAUAAGCACCGGCUAACUUCGUGCCAGCAGCCGCGGUAAUACGAAGGGGGCUAGCGUUGCUCGGAAUUACUGGGCGUAAAGGGUACGCAGGCGGCUAGUAAAGAAAGAUGUGAAAUCCCAGGGCUCAAACUUGGAACUGCAUUUUUAACUGCCGAGCUAGAGUAUGUCAGAGGGGGGUAGCAUUCCACGUGUAGCAGUGAAAUGCGUAGAUAUGUGGAGGAAUACCGAUGGCGAAGGCAGCCCCCUGGGAUAAUACUGACGCUCAGACACGAAAGCGUGGGGAGCAAACA